GCCCGGCUAGCGCAAUGGUAGCGCGUAAGACUUCUAUCAAUUCUCUCUCGAUCUUCAGUGUUGAUUGCCAUCUUAAGGCUGUGGGUUCGAGUCCCACGUCGGGUG
This 105-nucleotide transfer RNA is filed under the name Apiosordaria backusii. It matches the Rfam family "tRNA". From Rfam's summary of the family: Transfer RNA (tRNA) molecules are approximately 80 nucleotides in length. Their secondary structure includes four short double-helical elements and three loops (D, anti-codon, and T loops). Lineage: Eukaryota; Fungi; Ascomycota; Sordariomycetes; Sordariales; Lasiosphaeriaceae. The record is from Rfam by way of RNAcentral.